AGAGUUUGAUCCUGGCUCAGGACGAACGCUGGCGGCGUGCCUAAUACAUGCAAGUAGAACGCUGAGGUUUGGUGUUUACACUAGACUGAUGAGUUGCGAACGGGUGAGUAACGCGUAGGUAACCUGCCUCAUAGCGGGGGAUAACUAUUGGAAACGAUAGCUAAUACCGCAUAAGAGUAAUUAACACAUGUUAGUUAUUUAAAAGGAGCAAUUGCUUCACUGUGAGAUGGACCUGCGUUGUAUUAGCUAGUUGGUGAGGUAAAGGCUCACCAAGGCGACGAUACAUAGCCGACCUGAGAGGGUGAUCGGCCACACUGGGACUGAGACACGGCCCAGACUCCUACGGGAGGCAGCAGUAGGGAAUCUUCGGCAAUGGACGGAAGUCUGACCGAGCAACGCCGCGUGAGUGAAGAAGGUUUUCGGAUCGUAAAGCUCUGUUGUUAGAGAAGAACGUUGGUAGGAGUGGAAAAUCUACCAAGUGACGGUAACUAACCAGAAAGGGACGGCUAACUACGUGCCAGCAGCCGCGGUAAUACGUAGGUCCCGAGCGUUGUCCGGAUUUAUUGGGCGUAAAGCGAGCGCAGGCGGUUCUUUAAGUCUGAAGUUAAAGGCAGUGGCUUAACCAUUGUACGCUUUGGAAACUGGAGGACUUGAGUGCAGAAGGGGAGAGUGGAAUUCCAUGUGUAGCGGUGAAAUGCGUAGAUAUAUGGAGGAACACCGGUGGCGAAAGCGGCUCUCUGGUCUGUAACUGACGCUGAGGCUCGAAAGCGUGGGGAGCAAACAGGAUUAGAUACCCUGGUAGUCCACGCCGUAAACGAUGAGUGCUAGGUGUUAGGCCCUUUCCGGGGCUUAGUGCCGCAGCUAACGCAUUAAGCACUCCGCCUGGGGAGUACGACCGCAAGGUUGAAACUCAAAGGAAUUGACGGGGGCCCGCACAAGCGGUGGAGCAUGUGGUUUAAUUCGAAGCAACGCGAAGAACCUUACCAGGUCUUGACAUCCUUCUGACCGGCCUAGAGAUAGGCUUUCUCUUCGGAGCAGAAGUGACAGGUGGUGCAUGGUUGUCGUCAGCUCGUGUCGUGAGAUGUUGGGUUAAGUCCUGCAACGAGCGCAACCCCUAUUGUUAGUUGCCAUCAUUAAGUUGGGCACUCUAGCGAGACUGCCGGUAAUAAACCGGAGGAAGGUGGGGAUGACGUCAAAUCAUCAUGCCCCUUAUGACCUGGGCUACACACGUGCUACAAUGGUUGGUACAACGAGUCGCAAGCCGGUGACGGCAAGCUAAUCUCUUAAAGCCAAUCUCAGUUCGGAUUGUAGGCUGCAACUCGCCUACAUGAAGUCGGAAUCGCUAGUAAUCGCGGAUCAGCACGCCGCGGUGAAUACGUUCCCGGGCCUUGUACACACCGCCCGUCACACCACGAGAGUUUGUAACACCCGAAGUCGGUGAGGUAACCUUUUAGGAGCCAGCCGCCUAAGGUGGGAUAGAUGAUUGGGGUGAAGUCGUAACAAGGUAGCCGUAUCGGAAGGUGCGGCUGGAUCACCU
This 1537-nucleotide ribosomal RNA is filed under the name Streptococcus agalactiae. RNAcentral's name for it is "bacterial SSU rRNA". It matches the Rfam family "Bacterial small subunit ribosomal RNA". The record is from RNAcentral. Lineage: Bacteria; Bacillati; Bacillota; Bacilli; Lactobacillales; Streptococcaceae.